AUGCUACAAAACUGGGCCAUUGCCCGAUUCGAUGUCCAGACAUCGUAUCGGUGAGUGACUCGGUCGCAGCUCCCCCCAUUCCCAUUCCCAUUCUCCAUUCACCCACCUGCGGCGGCGCAAGGCGAAGCGGAGGCGACGAGAUGUCAGCGACGACGGCGGCGGUGCCCUUCUGGCGCGCGGCGGGGAUGACCUACAUCGGCUACUCCAACAUCUGCGCUGCGCUGGUGCGGAGCUGCCUCAAGGAGCCCUUCAAGUCCGAGGCCGCGUCCCGCGAGAAGGUCCACUUCUCCGUCGCCAAGUGGGCGGACGGCAAGCAGGAGAAGCCCAGUGAG
This 332-nucleotide long non-coding RNA is filed under the name Setaria viridis. RNAcentral's name for it is "long non-coding RNA (SVIR_LNC005879)". Lineage: Eukaryota; Viridiplantae; Streptophyta; Magnoliopsida; Poales; Poaceae. The record is from RNAcentral.